AGCAUGCCCGUUUUACAUAUGUAUUUUCUAAGGAUUACAAAUUGAUGAUUGGUAAGAGAACACCUUUUAGUAGAUAAUCACUGUAAUAUAAGUGCAAAAGAACUUCUAUGGUGUAUCACGUUUAUUAGAUCUGCAGCUUUUGCCAUCUGGUUUUAAGAUAUACCCCACCCCCCAAUGGAAAAAAAAAUGCAUCAUUGAAUGCAUGGUUGUUUGCAUUGGGGUAUAUCUACUAAACAGUGAUUUGUAUAUUUUUGCAUUUAGAAAGUGAUGUUUAAUAUGUUGGAAAUAUCACGUCUCAAAC
Molecule: non-coding RNA, 301 nt
Organism: Pelobates cultripes (western spadefoot toad)
Lineage: Eukaryota; Metazoa; Chordata; Amphibia; Anura; Pelobatidae
Source: the annotation of a GenBank genome assembly